Molecule: long non-coding RNA, 630 nt
Organism: Oryza sativa Japonica Group (Japanese rice)
Lineage: Eukaryota; Viridiplantae; Streptophyta; Magnoliopsida; Poales; Poaceae
Source: RefSeq, a predicted model, not a curated record
GAUCUAGCGAAGGAGUAAAAUGCAAAAAAGUUAGCCUCUCGUCCUCUCCUGAAGGGUCGAUCGACCUCAUGCCUCUUCCCCUUCCAAUCGAUCUCAUCUCGACGCCUCCCGCUCCCGGUAACGGCGCCGGUGAGCCAACGACAGGGAUCCCAGCCUACGGCAUGACGCGGAGCACGCACUGGAGGACGACGUGGAGCGCGACCGCGCCGAGGCCGCAGACGAGGAGGGCGAGCAAGACGAUGGCAUUGGUGUUGAACGACACGGCGACUGGACCGCCGCCGCCAUGGCCAUUCUCAGCGGCCAGCAGAGCACGCUUAUCGGUCGUCGCCAUGGCCAGCAGUGGGAUAUGCAAGAUACCAAAGAUAUAAAUUGUUGCCGCCUACAAGGUGCUCGAAAUCAUGACCUCCGGAUUUAAAAUAUGUGAAAGACUAUGGUUCUAAAAUUUUUUUGUGUAACUACAUUGUUGUGUUUCUUCUUUGUGCCGUAGCUAGAAGCUAGACCGGAAACGACUGUAUUCUUUAAAAAAAACUGUAUACAACUGUGGUAGUGUCAGGCUUUUUUAUCUUAGUGAAUUCAUGUAAAUAUAUAUUUAUCUAUGGUUCUAUCCAGUUUUUGAUGAUUGUUCUUAAA